AUCUAUGAGCAUAGAUAUCUAUGAGUUUGAAGAAAGGUUAUGUUAGACAAUCUGUCAUCUUAUUUUUCUGGAAAGACUAUAAUUUGAUUUCAAACGUAUAUUUACGAGAAUGUAAAAUAAGCUAAUUUUCUUCGUAGAAUUUUUACUUCCAACGGUUUUAACUUCGGGGGUUUACUGUACAUGCGGAUUUUAUUUUAAAAUAUAAUUGUCUCCAAUUUUUUUUAUAAUGGAUACUGAUAAAAGGAAUAAAAGCACAGACUGUGUAGAUUCUGAAGAGGAAAGAGAUGUAUUUGAUGUCAAAGAAAGUGAUAAUUUGUACCAAGAAGUUCGAGAUAUUUUGAGUCAACUCACAUCUAAAAACUUCCAAAACUGUUUUAUUAAAAUUCGAAGUUUAAAGAUUAAUACUUGUGAAGAAUUGCAUGGAAUAGUCAACUUACUUUUUGAAGAAAUUAUGAAUUAUGAGUCUUGUGCUUUGUUAUGCAGGGAAUUGGUUUUGAUGCCGAUGCUCAAGAGUGAAGAGUUGAAAAAAAAGUUUGGUGUUAAAUUCACUACUUUUCGAAUGCUGUUGUAUAUCAGAUGUGAAGUAGAGCUGAAAAAGAUACUUAAUGAUGAUGAGUACCUGAUAAAUUUAAUGUUCAUUGAUGUAUAUUAUAAUACCUUUCUCCAUAUCAGUGCUGAUGUGUAUUAUACUUCAGAAGAGCAAAAAGAAUUUCAUAAUGAAGGGAAACAAUUUCAUAAACAAUUAAAUGAAACUUCAAUUACUUUUAUAAAGUUUUUGGGUGAACUUUACAGACAAUUCGUAAUAACAAAUGAUAUACUGAGAAAAUUUAUGGUGAAUGUAAUUGUUGAUAUGGGUCAGAAAUACUUAAGUUGUAUUAAUUAUUUGUCAUCUGCAAUUGGUGAGGAGUUAAGAAAGAAUCCAGUAUAUCAACAAACUUCAGAUUCGAAAGUAAUUAAACAAGAGACAGAUGACAAACAUGUGCCUGAAGAGCAACUCGGCAUUUUGAUAGAAAACACAUAUGAAAGGAAAGAAUUAGUUUCAAACAGUUCAGUUUUUAAAGAAGUAAAGGAAAAUAUUAAAAAAAAAAUUGAUGAAAAGGACCGUAAGGUAUACACUUUAGAAAAUUUAUUACUACUGCGAAAUGUCCCAAGCAGUAUAAAAUUACCAGAAAACUAUAAAAACGCUUCCAUUCGUCCCUUAACGCCUCAGACGGACAUUCAAGACACAGAAAAAUUAUAUCCAAUGGAAGCUGCAGUUUACACAGUUUCUGCAUCAUCUUCAGCUUCUGAGGAAAUAGGCACCCAAAAUAAAACUAUGAUGGAGGUUCCUCAACAAGAAUCUCGGAAAAAACGACAAAGAAGUAAACAAUUGACUGUUGAUCCUGGUGUGUGGAUGGAUCCAGUGAAAACUGCGGUUUGCAAGUCUUCUGAUUUAGUUUCUCCCGUUCAUGAAACAAUCUCCCAGAAUAAUACUGCAAUAAUGGCUCUUCCAAAGAAAUCUAAGCAAAAACAACUUACAUUAAUCGUUGAUCCCGUCACAGGUAGAAAAAUGUACAAGUUAGUUGAAAAACAGGAAGAAAACAAAUUGAAUUUGAAAUCAAACCCGUCGUCAGUGUCUCAACCGGUGGAAUCAGCGAAGACGAAAGAGGAGCUCCAUAAAAUUGUUAACAAAACCAUAACAAAAUUAACUUCCUCCAGCCUCAAAUCGACUGUCGAUAGGAUAACGAGUCUCAAAGUUAACACUUACGAAUAUGUUAAGUACGUGAUCGAAAUUAUAAUGGAAAGAACAAUAAAUAAGUUUGAAUCUUGUGCUUUAUUAUGUAAGGAAUUAGAUCAAAUGCAGGUACCAACCUUAGAUGGGCUUAAAGGUAGAAUGAAGAUGACGACUUUCCAUGAACUUUUACUUGCUAGGUGUGUAGAAGAUUUGUAUAAUGUGCCAUGUUUAACUGAAGAAGAAAUUGCAACGUCUGAAAACGAAGCAGUUAUUUCAUUGAGAUUAAAACAUGUUGGAUUAGUACACUUCAUGAGAGAACUUCAUAAAAAUCAGAUAUUAACAGACGAAUCAGUGGUGGAGUGUGUAGUAUAUUUGCUUAAAACAUGGCGAACAAAGAGUGAAGGAAAUUUAGAAUGUGUUUGUAGGCUUCUUUUAAUGUUUGGUGAAGAAUUGGAAGCCAGAAAAGUUGAUCUAAAUUCACAUUUUAAUACAUUAAAGCAAAUAUGUAACAACAAACAGAAAAUUAGUAGUAUGUUAAGGUUAAUUUCGCAAUCAUUGCAUGACUUGUGGAAAGCAAAGUGGGCUCCUGAGAAGCGAGAAAUUUGUCAGAUGCUACAAAAUGCCUACAAUCCACGUAUGACAAAAACGGAACUAUGUGGGAUAACAGUUUCAUUAAUGAAGAAACAGGCCUUAAAACGCAUUAAAUUACUUCAAAUCGAUACAUAUGAACAAUUAAAUGGUGUCGUUACUGUAAUAUUUAGCAAAGCUUCAGUUUGUCCUGAAUUUUGUCUUCAAGUUUGUAUGGCAUUAUUACAUAUAAAGGUGCCUUGUAUAAAAAAUGAUUCUUUACAAAUUGUCGACAUACAAAGAGCUUUACGUAACAAAUGUGAGAAAGAAAAGGGAAGCCCCGGUUUCACUAAAUUAAAACCUGGUUUCAAUAAAUUCAUAGGAUUUCUCUUCGAGAAAGAAUUGAUUACGAGCGCAAUUGUAGUAAAGUGGAUUGCAAAGUUGCUCAAAAAUGUGAACGAAAAUAGUUUGGUAAGUGCUCACGAACUUCUUGUGCAAGUUGGUGAACGAUUAGAAAAGAACGGUAUAGAUUUGAGUCCGCAUUAUAACAGGAUAAAUGGAAUAGUUCAGAAGGAACCUGGAACAAUAAGCAACAAUGUAUUGAUAAAAUUAGGUUGUUUACUUACAUGGCGGAAUGCUAUGCUUUCACUUCAACGAGUUCAACCUCCGCAAUUUCAGACAAUUACAAAUCAACCGAAUAAUGAUGUUCAGCAUAAGCUGUUUGAAGGAUUACAAAAAUUAACCCUGUCCAACAAUUCAUCAGAAACUAUAUCUCAGUAUCAAACUGUUCCUCAACAAAUAAAAGUAAUAACCAAAAACGGAAUACAAACAAAGGAUAUCAUUGUCCUCCCCGAUCAUUCUGCACAACAAAUACAUGGAAAAGGAUUGCCAGAAAACUCAAAAUGGUUGAAAGAUAGCAGGAUAAUGUCACAGUCUGAAAACAACAUUUCUCUAUCUGACCAUUCACAAAACGACAAACAAUUGCCUUCUACCUCGAAGAUAACGAUCUUACCGAAUAACGAAAAACUUAAGUUGGAGGAUGUUUCAAACGGUACUGCUUCUUUUGCGGAAGUUCAUAAAAAGUUGCUGACGUUAUUUUCAGUAAACACGCCAAUCAAUGAAGUGAUACAAUGGAUACAGACAAACAUAGGUGAAGCGAAAGAAGAAGAAGCAUUCGUUAGGGCUUUGAUGACGGCUAUUCUUCAACAGUGUAUAGUAAAUAAUAAGUUGAAUGACCAGGCAUUUAAAAACUUUUAUCAGUAUAUUCACAGACUUUAUAUUGGUUCUUCUGACUCGGUGGAGAUUUAUUGUCUGUAUGCUAUUCAAACAUUAUGUUAUAAACUGGGUUUUCCAGAAGGUCUUUUGUUAACAACAUUCAAAAAAUUGUAUGAAGAUAGUAUUAUUUUGCCCGAGAGUUUCUUAACGUGGAAAGCUUGCUCCGAUCCCACCAAACAGGCGGGGAAAGGUAAGUAAAUAUUUAACGGUUUUUAUACGUAUAUUCAUAAUUUAUUAUUAAAUGUCUAGAUGACGCUUUAAAACAGUUAAAGGAUUUUUUUGCGGAAUUGAAAACGGGUGAAUAUGAAGACAUGUGAUAGAUUUAUUUUUAAAGUGAGAAUGAAUGUACCCUAUAUUUUUUACAUGUUCAGUUAUUAACAUAUUAAAUAAUGA
Molecule: unclassified non-coding RNA, 3949 nt
Filed under: Agrilus planipennis (emerald ash borer)
Lineage: Eukaryota; Metazoa; Arthropoda; Insecta; Coleoptera; Buprestidae
Description: uncharacterized LOC108732529, transcript variant X3
Source: RNAcentral